This 446-nucleotide ribosomal RNA is filed under the name uncultured bacterium. RNAcentral's name for it is "partial 16S ribosomal RNA". It matches the Rfam family "Bacterial small subunit ribosomal RNA", at positions 338 to 795 of the family's 1533-position model. The record is from RNAcentral.
CCUACGGGAGACAGCAGUCGAGAAUCAUUCACAAUGGGGGAAACCCUGAUGGUGCGACGCCGCGUGGGGGAAUGAAGGUCUUCGGAUUGUAAACCCCUGUCAUGUGGGAGCAAAUUAAAAAGAUAGUACCACACGAGGAAGAGACGGCUAACUCUGUACCAGCAGCCGCGGUAAUACAGAGGUCUCAAGCGUUGUUCGGAAUCACUGGGCGUAAAGCGUGCGUAGGCUGUUUCGUAAGUCGUGUGUGAAAGGCGCGGGCUCAACCCGCGGACGGCACAUGAUACUGCGAGACUAGAGUAAUGGAGGGGGAACCGGAAUUCUCGGUGUAGCAGUGAAAUGCGUAGAUAUCGAGAGGAACACUCGUGGCGAAGGCGGGUUCCUGGACAUUAACUGACGCUGAGGCACGAAGGCCAGGGGAGCGAAAGGGAUUAGAUACCCCUGUAGUC